This is a long non-coding RNA of Gasterosteus aculeatus aculeatus (three-spined stickleback), 1375 nucleotides long. The record is from Ensembl. NCBI's taxonomy places the organism in Eukaryota, Metazoa, Chordata, Actinopteri, Perciformes, Gasterosteidae.
GUCCUUGCCUACAAUCCACAGCGACCUGCCCUUUCCUCCCACACUACAGAAGAGCAGUGGGGAGCAGCGGCCGCAGCGGACGGUAGCCUAGCGGAUGCAGCCUCCUUUUCGGACAGACGCACAGUCUCACACAAUACCAACUCUGAUGACAUGCUGAACACCACUUCACUAAAACGACUCGUAGAAUCCAUCUCUAGGAAUGAGAAGGGAGAUGUUGAAGUGGUUAAGCUAACACAUAAACUCCAGCCGUAUGAACUCCGCCGUCGCCGUCGUCAGGAGCUGCUGGAGCACAUUGCUUCCUUCCUCAGGGAAGAAGAGAUAGAAGAGGAUAAUGACAGCAGGAAGAGCGCCUCACCACCAUCAACGCCCUCGUCUCCCGUGCCUCAACCUCAUCGACUCCUCAUCUCCCCCAGCUACUUGGUUUCACCGCCAGGGACAUUGAACCUCAGGCUGGUAGCACUAUAGCAGGACAUAUGUUUGGAAGACCAGAGGCAGAGACUGAGGUUAGAACCUACACCCCUAUAGCAGGUAUGAUGACACCUACUCAGAGCUCUACCAGGCCAGAACCACUGCAGUUUCAUGCUUCGGAGCAACCUCCCCCCUGUGAUGAUGCAAGACGAGUAUGUGGACAGUUGAGUGCUACGGCUCCGAUACAUGAGCCUGCAGCAGUCUCCUACAGCCAUCCAGGCGCACAACAUUACCACUCACCACAAGUGAUACCUCACACCCUCUACAGCCAUGGCCCACCUCAGUAUGCUACAUUGCCUUCAUUAAUUCAACCACCUCAGCAGACUCUAUCUGUCCCAAGGGAUAACUCAUAUUCAGCUCAUCAGAUGCAUCUUGUAAUGGUAAAAAUAUGUUAUAAGAUUGUUUUCUGCUAAAGCCGUCUCAAGUGUCCUGUAUUUGACCCUGAUGUGCAAAGAGCAGUAUGAUACAAAAUGUUGGUUUGCAGCUGUGCUCUGAGAAGGGAGGACGGUUGACUCGAUCUCAUAGAAGCUUCAAAACAAAGGACUCCUCUUCAUGGCCUUGGUUGAUAUCUUAUUCUGCACGAAAGUUCUGGAUCCAAGUUUUACUUUCAUGUCAAGUAACAAUGAUUUGCACUGGCCAUUGAGGAGGAUCUUGUGUGUGUGCUACCCUCAGCUUCACCUGGGUUCUUAUCUCAACCUGCUUUGCAGCUUCUCGUAGCUGGCACGGAGAAUGUCCUUCAUAUGUGUAUAAAAACUCAGUGUCUUUUGUGCUCGGAGACGCCAUUUCCACAGAGCACUGUGAUACGUGCCUGUGUAUUUGACCUCCUGCUUGCAAGCAAUAAAUGGACUUUUUGCAACUUUGAUCAUUCAUCAAGACUCUGUUUUAUCAGACAAAUCAUUCUCUUCUA